RNAcentral lists this ribosomal RNA (1868 nucleotides) under Escherichia coli. RNAcentral describes it as "partial 23S ribosomal RNA". It matches the Rfam family "Bacterial large subunit ribosomal RNA", at positions 1079 to 2925 of the family's 2925-position model. Lineage: Bacteria; Pseudomonadati; Pseudomonadota; Gammaproteobacteria; Enterobacterales; Enterobacteriaceae. The record is from RNAcentral.
GAAGGCCCAGACAGCCAGGAUGUUGGCUUAGAAGCAGCCAUCAUUUAAAGAAAGCGUAAUAGCUCACUGGUCGAGUCGGCCUGCGCGGAAGAUGUAACGGGGCUAAACCAUGCACCGAAGCUGCGGCAGCGACACUAUGUGUUGUUGGGUAGGGGAGCGUUCUGUAAGCCUGUGAAGGUGUACUGUGAGGUAUGCUGGAGGUAUCAGAAGUGCGAAUGCUGACAUAAGUAACGAUAAAGCGGGUGAAAAGCCCGCUCGCCGGAAGACCAAGGGUUCCUGUCCAACGUUAAUCGGGGCAGGGUGAGUCGACCCCUAAGGCGAGGCCGAAAGGCGUAGUCGAUGGGAAACAGGUUAAUAUUCCUGUACUUGGUGUUACUGCGAAGGGGGGACGGAGAAGGCUAUGUUGGCCGGGCGACGGUUGUCCCGGUUUAAGCGUGUAGGCUGGUUUUCCAGGCAAAUCCGGAAAAUCAAGGCUGAGGCGUGAUGACGAGGCACUACGGUGCUGAAGCGACAAAUGCCCUGCUUCCAGGAAAAGCCUCUAAGCAUCAGGUAACAUCAAAUCGUACCCCAAACCGACACAGGUGGUCAGGUAGAGAAUACCAAGGCGCUUGAGAGAACUCGGGUGAAGGAACUAGGCAAAAUGGUGCCGUAACUUCGGGAGAAGGCACGCUGAUAUGUAGGUGAAGCGACUUGCUCGUGGAGCUGAAAUCAGUCGAAGAUACCAGCUGGCUGCAACUGUUUAUUAAAAACACAGCACUGUGCAAACACGAAAGUGGACGUAUACGGUGUGACGCCUGCCCGGUGCCGGAAGGUUAAUUGAUGGGGUUAGCGGUAACGCGAAGCUCUUGAUCGAAGCCCCGGUAAACGGCGGCCGUAACUAUAACGGUCCUAAGGUAGCGAAAUUCCUUGUCGGGUAAGUUCCGACCUGCACGAAUGGCGUAAUGAUGGCCAGGCUGUCUCCACCCGAGACUCAGUGAAAUUGAACUCGCUGUGAAGAUGCAGUGUACCCGCGGCAAGACGGAAAGACCCCGUGAACCUUUACUAUAGCUUGACACUGAACAUUGAGCCUUGAUGUGUAGGAUAGGUGGGAGGCUUUGAAGUGUGGACGCCAGUCUGCAUGGAGCCGACCUUGAAAUACCACCCUUUAAUGUUUGAUGUUCUAACGUGGGCCCCUUACCGGGGUUGCGGACAGUGUCUGGUGGGUAGUUUGACUGGGGCGGUCUCCUCCUAAAGAGUAACGGAGGAGCACGAAGGUUGGCUAAUCCUGGUCGGACAUCAGGAGGUUAGUGCAAUGGCAUAAGCCAGCUUGACUGCGAGCGUGACGGCGCGAGCAGGUGCGAAAGCAGGUCAUAGUGAUCCGGUGGUUCUGAAUGGAAGGGCCAUCGCUCAACGGAUAAAAGGUACUCCGGGGAUAACAGGCUGAUACCGCCCAAGAGUUCAUAUCGACGGCGGUGUUUGGCACCUCGAUGUCGGCUCAUCACAUCCUGGGGCUGAAGUAGGUCCCAAGGGUAUGGCUGUUCGCCAUUUAAAGUGGUACGCGAGCUGGGUUUAGAACGUCGUGAGACAGUUCGGUCCCUAUCUGCCGUGGGCGCUGGAGAACUGAGGGGGGCUGCUCCUAGUACGAGAGGACCGGAGUGGACGCAUCACUGGUGUUCGGGUUGUCAUGCCAAUGGCACUGCCCGGUAGCUAAAUGCGGAAGAGAUAAGUGCUGAAAGCAUCUAAGCACGAAACUUGCCCCGAGAUGAGUUCUCCCUGACUCCUUGAGAGUCCUGAAGGAACGUUGAAGACGACGACGUUGAUAGGCCGGGUGUGUAAGCGCAGCGAUGCGUUGAGCUAACCGGUACUAAUGAACCGUGAGGCUUAACCUU